RNAcentral lists this small RNA (129 nucleotides) under Enterobacter bugandensis. Its description in RNAcentral is "RtT sRNA". It matches the Rfam family "RtT RNA". Rfam says of the family: This family represents a bacterial cis-regulatory element known as RtT RNA. The exact function of RtT is unknown although it is thought that it may be involved in changing the cellular response in relation to amino acid starvation. RNAcentral also lists the same sequence under 1 other name. The record is from RNAcentral. Lineage: Bacteria; Pseudomonadati; Pseudomonadota; Gammaproteobacteria; Enterobacterales; Enterobacteriaceae.
UUUUUGCUAUCUGCGAACUGGAUGAUUCGAACCUGCAGCAGGUUCGAGCCGAACGUAGUGAGGCACCGGAGCCGUUUACGGCGACGGCCCGAAGGGCGAGCGAAGCGAGUCAUCCUGCACGACCCACCA